Molecule: ribosomal RNA, 54 nt
Filed under: Haglerozyma chiarellii
Lineage: Eukaryota; Fungi; Basidiomycota; Tremellomycetes; Trichosporonales; Trichosporonaceae
Description: partial 18S ribosomal RNA
Source: RNAcentral
AAUCACUAAUGACCCCUUCCCUAAGGUGAACCUGCGGAAGGAUCAUUAGUGAUU